CUUAGGUUCAUUGUGAACACAUUCUCCUUAUUUACCGUAUAUUUGCAUUUCCUUUCUUUCACAUUUGAGUGAGAACCUUUUCACAGAAAGUAUGGACAAAAGGGAGAAACACACAGGUAUCUGCGAAAUCUUUAAAGAAAAGCUUCAGUCUGAAAUGAACCAUAUUCUACUUCUGUUCCUGCUGUAAAGAGGACACCAGGCAUCCCACAGACUGCAUGCAACAAAAUGACCACUAUCAGAAAGGUGAAGUUUACCAGCAGUUCACUACGCAGAGCUAUCUCUAACACCAGCAUGGAGAGGGAAGCAAGACUCUGUCAGCCCAUUUCCAGGUAAACUCCAAGCUGAAGUAGGAGCAUUGCCACCUGCGAAGCAUCAGAACAAAAUUACAUAAAGGACAUGGUGUCAAAAACCACAAGCAUUUGCUUUGGAAGAGUAAUAUGAUAAAAGGUGCAAUCACUGAUGGAAAGACUCUGAGCAGGAGGUAAAAGUAGGCACCUCAGUGUUUUAAAACAUGCUUUGCUUAAGUGGUAAACAAGAUUUUUUUUUUUUAACAGGGUGGUUUAGGAAUGCUCUGCCUCCAUCAAUAGAAUGUUACUCUCUAAUGAACAUGGAGAUCAACAGGGAGUGGUGAUAAAGUAAAGGUUCUGCUCUUUUCUCUGUUGCUGUGUAACAUCUAAUUCAUUAGUUAGUGCUUAUACACUGCAGCGCUCCAGAUCCAAUUACAGCAACCCUUUAAGCACCUCCCUAGGCACAUGCUCAAGUGUUUCCUGAUAACAGGCAAGGAUUAUCUGUGUGGUUUAGCUUAUAAUUAGAUCUUAUUAAUAACUGGAGCAAGGGUUGUUAUUAUUGACAUAACUUAACGAAAACCUCAUAAUACUUAUCACUGUAAAAAGGCAUCAUCUCAUCCUUGAGCAACAGAACUAAAAUUCAUCAUAACAGGAAUGAAGUUAGCCACUUGAUUUAUAAAUAGUUGGAUGUUAAAAAUACGGGGUGCUUGAGCAGUAAGCACACACAUUAAGCUUUUCCAUAAUUACUGAAUAUUUUUCACUGACCAUAUACCACAACAGUCGCAGACAUGCUCCUUCUCUUGGCAACAAUGUUAGCAGCCAUGCAGGUAUAGUUCCCAGAGUCAGACAGACGUGCCUGACGAAUGAUGAGGUUGUGGUCUGCUCUGGUGUCAAUGUUCUCAUCCAGGUUCGAAUCAAUGGGCUCCUCAUUCUUUAACCAUUCCACCUGCGGAGAGAUGGAGAAGAGAAAAUCAUGAAAUAUGAAAAGAUGGAAGCAGGAAGUCUGCAAAAUUAUUCCAAUAUUUCAAAGAAUUCAUUAAUAAAUUUCAUUUUAACCUCUAUUACAAUCAUUAAGAUAAAAACAAAGCUAGAAUACAGUUCCCAACAAGGCAGAUAUUCACAAGCUGAGAAAAGAAACCAUUCCUAUCCUGAAAGCCCUGGAGCUUAUUACAAAGGCACAACAAACACAACGCUAGCUGGUAUUGUAAAAGAGAAAAAAAAAUGGCACAAGCUCAUCCAGAGUUGCAAGUAAUGUGGAUUAUAAGGAAGGGGUUAUUUUUGUUCUACUGGGGGAAAGGGAAGAUAAGGAAGAAGGGGAUAGGAAAAAGAAAGGAGGAGAAAAAUUAAUCACUGUUUUCCUUGUGCUGUUAUGUAGUUAGGAAGCUUUAAUAUUUAAUCCUAGGAAUCAGAAAGCUAAGAUAAAAAACAUGGGGUCAUUCUAGUUGAACAUAUCAUUUACCCCUGGUUCUCUUCACCAUAAGUAGUAAAACUUGAACAUGAAAUCAUUUUCUUAAAUAUUUGCAUCUUAUUAUUUCCCCUAUAUUUCUUCUUGAAUCUAUAUCCUGCAUUUUGUUUUCUUUGCAACUAUUCAUUUAUCCAAGUAUUGUCAUGUUUAGGAGAGUCCUUUUGGUUUCCCUAAGAGAAUGAAAAAAUGGGGAAAAUAUCUGUAAACCUGUAAAGCCAAACCAAGGCACUUGAUGCAUUAGUCUGAUGUCCUUAUUAUUUUGAUAGGAAAGUAUUUGUUGGGACUCAAGGAGCAGAGAGACACACAUGACCAAAUGAGAUCAGCAGUCUAAGUGAAAGUCAACUAAUGACUAUCACGUUUUUUUCUAAACCUCGGGGGUAGUAGGUAUGGGCCAGUAACUUAGCAAGACUAAUUUUUAUUCAAAGGAAAUGGAAUAAAAUCUUAACCUCUUAAACACUUAUUUUUCUCUCUUGGAAUUAAGAUGACUGCUCUUGAUAUAUACUGCUUUAUAUGUUUGAACCAUUGUACAAUGAAAAAUUAAGUGUCAUACUACCCAGGGAUGAUACAUGGAUAAUUAUUGUUAAUUCCACUUUUUUGAGAGAGAAACAGAGAAAGGAUGAAAUCACUUGCUCCACAUCACACACAGUGAAAGAGCUAAGUCUUCAUAACAGACUCCCAGUCUGAAUAAACAUCCUUCAACCAGGAAGCCAUUAGUAUUUGUUGCCAAGGAACAUUAAUGUUGUAUAUAAUAUAUUCCUAUACAUCUCCUCUAGUUCACCAACCAGUGUUUCUCUGAGUAGACCCAGGAAUUAACUGCAAAGCAUUUCUCUACUUGAAACAUUUAAACAAAAUGCUUGAGGCAUGGUAAGCUGCUGUGACAGAACUGAAAAAUUAAAAAUAGAAGCAGAAAAAACAGAUCCUAUUAAAAGACUUAACAAAUGUGACUCAUUUUAAUAGCUUUUCUAGACCUGAAGGAGGUAUGGUUGUACCCUGAAGCCAAAUACCUUUCUCAUCUCAGUACAGAUGAAUAACCUCAUUUGGGAACUUGUGGCAGGACUUGUAACUUUGAGGUAAUGAGCCUAUGGAUUUGCUAGCUACAGGCAUUCAUUAGCACACUGUUCUGUGCAGAUGGUCUGCAAUUUGUAGAUUUUCCAGUUUAUAAACAAAUCUGCAAAAGCUGACCAUCAAAGCCAAUUAGUUUUCAUGCCAGACAGCAGGUUUCUCUUCCAGUGGCAUCAGUCAUUUUGCUUAGCUGGGGACAGAAGGUGUGCGACUGACAUAUCCAUAGCUUCUCACACCUCCAUGUCACAGCAUGGUCAGCUGGGAGCUUAUCUUGAAAAGAAUCUGGGUUUAUGGCACUGUUUCCUUACAUGGUAACUCUGGGAGUAAACAAACAGAUUGCUUUACAGAUCUGUUAAAAGAGGCAUUAGCUGAGUAUGAAAUAUAUUACACAUUUAAUACAGAAAGUAGUCAAAAGAUUUUAGUUCAAUGAACUUUUCUCCCCUGACACUGUUAGCCAUCAAAGAUAAAAUGUCAUCAUUAAGGUUACCAUUCAGCAUUCAAAACUUACCUGUUUUUAUUUCUACGUCCUCAUAAGGCUCUGUCAUAAUGCUGAGUUUUGUUGUGUUGUUAUUUUGCCGCUCAGAUUUUAACUUUUUUUUUUUUUUAAAACAACCUCCUUUGCGAAAGUUUAAAAAGUUUUGUGGGGACUUGAGCUUGUAUGGUACAGUGCACAUCAGAAUAAGCAUUUAGAGUGAAGUAUCAAGACAGUGAAUUACUAAGGUAAGCUUCAGCUCAUCAAAGAAACCAGUGCAUGUCACAUGUACUCUGUUGUUCAGCCUCAAAGAUGAUCCACAGAAUUGUUUAAGUAAACCUGGAGGAGACUUUGAGCCAAAAGUCCCACUCCCUGACUUUAUUCUCCUUACUAUUGUCAUGAGAUAUCGAUCAGUCAGUCACGGUCUGUCCCAAGCUUAACACACCCAGUAGUUUAGGCACCCCAAUUUCCACUACGAAAAGCAUCCUAGGAAAUCACAUGGCUAGCAUUCAUACUCCUUUCCUUUCAUACCCCAGUCUAGAUGACCUAGCAGACACUUUGAUCUGUACUGACUGAAGGUGGCCAGCUACAGCUCUGGAGUAGUAGCAAAACAACCUUAUCAAAGCCAGUACUCCUGAACUCUUCCUUAAUAGUAUCUAUUUGAAUGUAUUCACCCAGUUAUAUUAUAUUUCCCUUUGGUCUGGGUAAAACAAGGAACAAUCAAGUAAUCCAUCUCCUAUUCAGUCUCCCUUGUGCAGUUAACUUUAAUACUAGUUAUCGCGGAGUAGGUUCCAAAACAGAAACUAGGAAUGCAAUUUAAAUCAUGGAACAACAGCACCAGUGUAAAACAAGUGACAGAAAUUCAAUGGUCACAGUCAGAAUUAAACCCACUUUAUGUGCAGUGUAAUGACAAACACAGAUAGCAAUAUUCAACGAAAUGACAAACCCAACUAGUAUUACUGGAGACUGCAGUCCAUAGUUUCACAAGUAUAUACAUAAAUUUUUCAUUUUGGCUCUAUCAUCAUAUGAGUUUUGUGUGGGGUUUUUUUUUUUUUUUUGAUUGUUAGGCUCGUUUUUGAUGGUUCUGAUUUCUGUUACACCAGCACUUUGGAACCUCAGGCUAUUUUUCCUCUAGACAGCUCAGUAUUUUCCAGGAAAGAGCACACUGAUCCAUUGUUUACUGAGCAUAGGACUGCAAGGCAUGGUGAAUGAAAAACGUUUACAUUAAUGCAAAGCAUUUAAAAGAAUGAUGAUCAGUGUGAAGGGAGAACAUUAAACAGACGGCACAUAAACGUGAAAGUGUUGAGAUGUGCAAUCAAAAGAUGAUUUGUAAAUGAAAGCAUUCAUUGCCUUUUGCUUAUCUGGAGGCUUGAUGACACUGCGAAUACUCAUCUCUAAUUCCAGCCUCCCCCUUCCUUGAAGAAAAAAAAGGACUGCUUCAGACUCACUCACUGUCUUUACCUCAGCAGACUAAUGCUUUCAAAGAAGAACUACGGGUUGAAUUUAAAGGAUAAACUGAUAAAUUUAAGGGACUCUUGAUGACAAAAGAUUGUUGUUACCUGCAGUGAUGCAAGCUUUCUUUUGAGAAUUUCAAGACAUACAUUCACAUCAACCAAAUGAAAUAAAGGCAACAAAGAAACCAACCAUGUCUUCAUACUGAAAUGAGGCCUGCGUUCUGACUUUCCAACCUGGGACCUCUGAGGAGUGGACUCAAAACUCAUCAGCAUUUAACCUCCCUUGCUUUAUCAUCAGUGGAGGUCAUACAAUUGCUUGUAACACACUGAAAAUACAUUUCCUUCUUUAA
Molecule: long non-coding RNA, 5090 nt
Organism: Dromaius novaehollandiae (emu)
Lineage: Eukaryota; Metazoa; Chordata; Aves; Casuariiformes; Dromaiidae
Exons: 4
Source: RefSeq, a predicted model, not a curated record